UGGGGGUUCUGGGAAUUGAACCCAUGGACUCUAUAAGAGCAGUGAAUACUUUGAGUCAUUUCUCCAGCCCCUCAGCCUUAUUUGAAAAAAUACCAGAGGAAUAAAAAUGACUACGCAUUUUUCUUAUGUAUGUAUGUAUGUAUGUAUGUAUGUAUGUAUGUAUGUAUUUUACCUUGCUACUAGGGAUGGUUCCUAGGACCUCAAAGUGCUGGUCAUGUGCUCUACCACUGGGCUAAAUCCUC
Molecule: small RNA, 242 nt
Filed under: Cricetulus griseus (Chinese hamster)
Lineage: Eukaryota; Metazoa; Chordata; Mammalia; Rodentia; Cricetidae
Description: tRNA-Ala
Source: RNAcentral